Molecule: ribosomal RNA, 228 nt
Filed under: uncultured bacterium
Lineage: Bacteria
Description: partial 16S ribosomal RNA
Rfam family: Bacterial small subunit ribosomal RNA
Source: RNAcentral
CGGGUGAGUAAUGUAUGGGGAUCUGCCUGAUGGCGGGGGAUAACUACUGGAAACGGUAGCUAAUACCGCAUAAUGUCUACGGACCAAAGCGGGGGACCUCCGGGCCUCGCGCCAUCAGAUGAACCCAUAUGGGAUUAGCUAGUAGGUGGGGUAAUGGCUCACCUAGGCGACGAUCCCUAGCUGGUCUGAGAGGAUGACCAGCCACACUGGAACUGAGACACGGUCCAG